AUGGGGGGACAUCAAGAGAUUUGCCACCUGACCUCUAUGAGCUGUACAAGACAGAUCCAGAAGAGGAUUACAAUCAGCUCGCCUGUUCUCACGAACAGCGAACUCAUCAGCAUUGGUCGUCCUUUGACGCCAAUUGCUCAGGAUAAUUCAUGGGCUGAUCACCCUCAAGACUCCCCCCGUCAAGAAGAAUCACCACGUACUCCCCCAACUCAAGUCACCACUCCGGUGCUUGAUGACGAUGACUUUGAGGCCCAGCCUACUCCAUCUCCACAAGCGUCGCCAGCGUUUCGCAGGCUUCACAAAGGACCAAGGCCACAAGUCACUCUUUCGAGUGUUCCAGAAGGAGAAGAGCUCCACCACUCUGUCUCACGACAAGUGUUUCCUGAAGUCUCUCAAACUGCGAACAUCUCAGAGUCUGAAGCCAAAGCGGCUGAAGACAUUCCGGCUGCAUCAGCCGAUGAACAAGAAGAACCAAGAGCAGAAGAUGAACGUGUUGCUACACCCCCUUCCAACCCUGAAGUUGUUCUCGAGGAGAACAUGCCCGACCCUCCAGCUACUCAAGUGGAGGCUGACAACACUGAGGCAACCACCAACACCAAUACUGAAGCCAAUGACGUUGUCAUGGCUGAAGCUAAUGUGGCGCCUGAAGUUAAUGUGGUGCCAGAAGUAGUUGCACCUGAAGCCAAUGCUCGAAGCUUGAAGGAGCAAUUGGCUGCAUUUGAGGAUGAUAUAUUCAAGUUUGACACCACUCCUCCAAGGAAUGCUGUCUUGCGUCGGACUCCCUCUCUUGAAGACUCUGACUAUUCCUCCUCAGCUGUCACAGUCAAUGCCAGAGUCAUUGAUGACCAAGAUGAUGCUACCUCACCACCUCCAACUUCGGCGCGUAUCGACACUGCACCAAGUUCUUCUGCACCACCUAACCUCAACGACGACCCUGCAGCUUCACCGCCUACUCCUCAUGGGAACGAUUUGUCAUCAAUCACCAAAAAGGGGGAGAUUGAUAACACAGGUAGUAGUCCCUCAUUGAUUCGGUUUACCUACCGGAGAUGA
Molecule: ribosomal RNA, 1050 nt
Filed under: Triticum aestivum (bread wheat)
Lineage: Eukaryota; Viridiplantae; Streptophyta; Magnoliopsida; Poales; Poaceae
Description: partial small subunit ribosomal RNA
Source: RNAcentral